AUAACCUAGCCGCAACCGCAAAAUCCUCCCUUGUCGUUGCCCCCAUCCAUGUCCACCUCGACCCGAUCACCGCUCCCGCCAGCAGACCCCGAGGCAGAGAGAUCACCGGCCCAGGUUUAUUUCCCCUUCAAUACCAUCCCCUACCUUGCCGCCAUCACCAAGAGUUAAGUUUGACUGAGGACGCCCGGUGCCAGCAAUCGCCGGAGAAAGACGGGCACGAGAAGGAGAAGCCGCUGGCCCGCUCCGCAGCGGCGACGCUCCUGCGAACCUCGCGAACCCAGGUGCAAAUAACCAUCCUUGAACCCUUAAAUUAUUAAUCCUCGAGUUGGAAGCCCAGUUUCACCUUCCAUGUCGUGUUUGAUUUUUGUAUCGUUGCAGGGAAGAAGAUGUGCCGCUUGGAAUCUGUUCCGUCCAUCCUCUACAGGUCAGUUUCUCUACCCCUUCUGUACAUCCCCUAUUUUUGAUGGAUUCACUUACUUGAUCUGAUCUCUAUUUUGGGGGAAGAGGAGAUCAGAGGAUGAGCACCAGAUGAUCCGACUACAGAAACUGAGAGAAAUCAGAGACUUGACAGCCGUGAUUUAUUGCUUCUUAUAUCACGCAGGCAUUAGGGCUCUCCCAAUCUCAUCCUAGAGGAAUAGGACACCUUGCAUGACCGUGAGCACCGCUGCUCAUCGCAGCUUGUCAGAUUAGGCUGGUUCAAGCAGUGUCUUAGGCAUGCUACUAUCCAAGGCGGUCUUCGCGCUUCCACCCUACAUCCACGCUAUCCACCAUGUCUCUCCCUAGAUGUGUGGGGAGGAGCAAGCAGGAGGGAAGGAGGAGCACGCAUGACUCCUCUGUCCUGUAUGUAUUUUCAUUUAUGAUAUAUCCAAAACAAAUUACUAUAGAUUAGUUCCCACAGCUAUUUAUUAGAUUGGUGCUUAUAUGAAAAAGAUUGAAACACCUCGUUUUAACUUGAUUGGUUCUCAAAGCCUUUCAUAUAGAUUGAAACAAUGUGUCAGAUGGAAGGAUAAUCUAAUGUUGUGCUAUCAUGUUUCGAAUUGUA
Molecule: long non-coding RNA, 1042 nt
Filed under: Triticum aestivum (bread wheat)
Lineage: Eukaryota; Viridiplantae; Streptophyta; Magnoliopsida; Poales; Poaceae
Description: long non-coding RNA (TAES_LNC015969)
Source: RNAcentral